AUUUGAGUCAAAAUCUGAAGAAGGAGGGAGUGAGUCAUCUGAGUCUGUGAAGAAUUUUCUAAGCAAGGCGAGCAGCAAGCACGAAGGCUCUCAGGAAGGAGUGUGCUUGGUGAGUUCUAAGAACAAGCAGGCCAGUGUAGCUGGAAAGUAGUGAGCAGGAGACUGUGGGCAGGAGAGGACAUGAGAGAGGUGACAGAGUGGAUCACUGAGGACCCUGCAAGUGGUGUUGACGUGGGAUUUCACCAUAUUGGCCAGGCUGGUCUCGAACUCCUGACCUCGUGAUCCACUGGCUUCUGCCUCCCAAAGUGCUGGGAUUACAGGUGUGAGCCACCACACUGGCUUACCAAGGCAGACAAGUUCAUCUUCAAGAAAACUAAGAGAUCUCUUCCCCUGACAAAAAACAACUCCAUGUUUGAUGGGACUCAGACCUGGGCUCUUCUGUCACCUCUAGGUAGGGAGGUCUUGGAGAGCAAGUGAGACCAGAGUGUUCAUGGAAAGUCACCAUCCACAGACAUUGGAAAAAUAGUCAUUCCCAAUUUCUGCUAUGUGAUCCCGUUUAGGAGUCACCCUACCAAGUGGGUAUGAUGAUGAAGGUGAGCUGCUAAGAAAGAGGUUGAGAGACAGCUGAUGUUUGUUUCAAGCAAAUCUUCUUUAACCCGAGGCACCAGGAGCAGAGGGCCAGUGGGUAAAAAGGUUAAGUAGGAUGGAAUCUACAAUAAAGCCAAAUGUGUGGGUUCUAUUGCUGAUCUUGUCGUUAUUUUGGAUUUUUGGAGUGGAGAUGAAAUGAAAAUGUUUGUUUUGUAUCUACCUGCCCAGGAUGUAAGUAAGAGGGAAGAACAAGACUCUAGGAGAGAAAUAGAGGCUCCCCUAAAAAAACACCUUAAGUAAAUGUCAGGUGAUGUCACCCAUAAAGUCUUCCAGCCAUAAUAAUUUCACCUGAAAGCUAUUUAUUUUGGAAACAGACAGAAAGCCCUGUCUGUUCCACUUUAAAGUUUCACAUUAAUACUCC
Molecule: long non-coding RNA, 1009 nt
Filed under: Homo sapiens (human)
Lineage: Eukaryota; Metazoa; Chordata; Mammalia; Primates; Hominidae
Description: HSALNT0377555
Source: RNAcentral